AACAACAAGAACAGGUGCAACCAAGUGAGUAUAGACAAACACAAUAUCAACAAAAACAAUUUCAAGGUGGUCACUCUAAUGGUUUGGAUGAGACCUUUUGUACCAUGAGGGUAAGAUAGAAUAUUGACAACCCGAACCUCACUGAUACAUACAACACUAGAGCAGGAAGGAUCACAUAUCUAAAUGUGCAGAAGUUUCCAAUUCUUAAUCUUCUACAAAUGAGUGCCGUGAAAGUAAAUUUGUACCAGGUAAAAUCACAAGAUAUAUUAUCUUAGCAAAGAAAAGCUUUAAAAAAUAUGCUGACAACUUUUUAUAAUAUUUUUGUUGUAGAACGCGCUCCUUUCACCUUUUUGGAACAUCAAUGCUCAUAGCAUUGUCUAUAUUACUCAAGGUCAUGCCGGGUUCAAGUUGUCAACAACAAUGGAAAGACAGUGUUUGAUGGAGAGGUUCGUCCUGGGCAGCUGCUAAUUAUACCACAACACCAUGUAGUUGUGAAAAAAGCACAAAGAGAAGGAUGCUUAUAUAUUGCAUUCAAAACCAACCCUAAUUCCAUUGUUAGCCAAAUCGUGGGAAAGAAUUCCAUCUUCCGUGCACUUCCUAACAAUGUUUUGGCAAAUGCAUAUCGUAUCUCAAGAGAAGAAGCUAGGAGACUCAAGCACAACAGGAGAGUGGAGUCAGGCGUGUUCACUCCUAGUCAUGCCUACAGUAACUUCCAAGAUAUCAUGACUGCAUCAUUAUAGUAUAGGCUUGGAUUGCUAGGGAUGGUUUCCAAAUAAAUUACAAGAAAUAAAAGACUGCAUGCUUAUUGUAGCUAUGUAAUAUUGGAUGGUUGGAAUAAGAACAAUAAUAAUUUUGUUUCCCGUCUAAAUAGCUAUAUUAAAUAUUAUGAGUACACAAGUUCCAUUUAUCUAAUUAACAAUCGAUACAUAUAUAACCAUGUGCCUUCAAGAAAUAUUAAUUUGUGAUCCAUAAAAAGGAGCAUAAAAAGGAGUGUAAGAGAUAGAGUGACUUGCAUAUAUGUCAUAAUGAACAUGUGAGGAAUAUUUUCCAUCACUUCUAUGAACGCGGUUAAAGUCUUGAGAUGCAAACAACUUUGAAACCUUUCAAAUAUUGAAACGUGUUAGCUUGUUUGUAGAUCAUAUAAAAAAAUAUCACUUAUCUAUUAUAUACAUUAAAAGUUGGCUAGGCACUCAAAUCACUAGUUGGACUUCCAUUAAAAGUUUGGCGAGUCUUUUGAGCACCACAAAAACUGUGGCUUUGACUGCUUGUGGCACAAGAGUUCAGCAUGUCAAAAGCAACAACACGUAUCCAAAAUUUUGGAUUUGAGCAUGCACAAACCAAUCACAUAAGUUGACUCACUAUGCGUAGUUUACAUCAUGUAUUGUAGUACCCAUAUUUUACUCCAAAAAAGAAUGAAGUAAUCCAAAACAAUUUAUGGGUUAUUACCAGUUUAAAAGUCAAUACUACAAAAUAAACUAUGAUGAAUAAAUCCGAAAAUUAACUCUAAAAUCUAAAACUAAGUUUCAAACAUUCAAAUUUUGGUUGCAGCUGAUAAGCCAAUAAACACACGAUCGAUCUUAUUCCUUGGAUUAUUGAUUAUCAUGAGCACGCUUCCCAAGCUCCCCAACGGUGCAUUUUUUGCAAAAGUUUUCUAUCUAUAAGUUUCUUAUAAUACUUUUUUUAGAAACAACUUUUCAACUUGGUAAUAGUUAAUUCAUACUUUAUAUCUUGGAAUAUCAUCAUAAAUUUAGAUAAUCAAUCAUCCAUUUAGCUUAGAAGAAUUGGACUUCUAGACAAAAUACACAUUGAUUUCCUAUAGCAAGGGUAUUAUUAUCUUUGGGUGUUUGGACGACAGAGAAAUAAGUGGUAUAAAACAUGUUCAUUUCUACUUCACUGGAUUUUUGAUGUGGAUUAUUUGUUCCACACCUUUGAGAAUAUGUUUUUUUUAAAAAAAAACUUUCUUCUAAUGCAUUGCUUAGACCACUUAUUCUAAGCCAUUUAUAAGUUUAGAUUAAAAAUAUUUAAUUUAUCCCAGAAUAAAGUAGAUAGCCCGCAACAAUAAUCCAGUCAAUAAUCUCGAACAGGUAGAAACCGCUACGCAUAUUUGAAUUCAAAUUAGUUGCACCUAGUAGUAAGUAAGGCAAUGCCAUUGUAUCGCCUUUUGUUUUAUACCUUUGCUCUAGGUCAUUGGUUAGCAGAGGCUAAAUUACGUGCCAAGGCAACAAGGGACGCACCUUCUGUUCUCUUCUCGGGUGAACACUAGUAGGAUAAAUUGCUUCACAUGAUUCACUUCCAACCUUUGGUGGACAAAGUGGCAAUAAGACACUGGGAAGGAAAAAGUCCUAAACCAAGAAGUAAAUUUCACAUUGCACCAUACAUUUUUAACAAAGUUUCACAAUGGGAAAUGGCCAAAUCAACCUUUUCACUUAACAUUACAUAUCUUUGCACUAGUUGGCACUUUGGACUUGGGAUGAGCACAUCAAAGGAAGUUGUCAGAGAAAAGCUAGUUUAAAUCAUCAUCCAUAGUGCCAUAGUAUUAAGAUAAAUAUCUUUAAAAAAAUAUUUGCAAAUCACAAAACAACUUUUUUUUAGCAAAUCACACUAAAAUAAUGAUGUGAACAUGUUUAAAAGUGGCACAAAAUGAUCUAUACGUAGGGGCAAAUGAACAAAAAUAAAAUAGAAAAUAAAACUAGUUAUUUUUGAAUUUAAAUAAAAAUAUAAAAUAAAACUAGUUAAUUACCACUCACACUGAAAAGAAGAAGAAAGCAUAAAAUGUUUUGCCUUUUAUAAUUAUCCGUAUGCAAAUCAUAUGAAGUUCUCUCACAUAUUCCCUUGUUUCGAUUACCCUUAGACCCUAGUCCAAACUGAAAACUUAUGUAAAGAUGUAUAUUGUUAAGUGAAAAUAUUGAUUUAACCCUAGUUUAUAACAAAAUCUUGAUCAAAACAUAUGGCCCAAUGUAAAAUUUACUUAAGAAAAGGUAAAACUAGUUAAUUACCGCUCACACCGAAAAGAAGGAAGAAAACAUAAAAUGUUUUGCCUUUUAUAAUUAUACGUGUGUAAAUCAUAUGAAGUUCUCUCACAUAUUCGCUUAUUUUGAUCACCCGGAGUCCAAACUGGAGACUUAUGUAAAGAUGUAUUCCCUCCGUCACAACAAAAUUUGGUCAGACUUCUUUCCAGAUUUGUUGUACUAGAUUAUAUCUCAUCCCAUACUUCUUAGGCUCCGUUUAGCUUCUUAGGUUGGUUUUUUUUUUACGGAGGGAGUAUAGUGUUAAGUGAAAAUAUUGAUUUAACCUAGUACAUGUGUUCCAAUGUACUUUAAAAAAAGGUAAAUGAAAGGCGUUUUCAAAAAUCAAAAUGCAGCUCCCUCCGAGCAAAAGCCGUUGGCUUCUGUCAAACGUCAAAUCCGUCAGGCUUACCAGUUUUAGUACUACCACACUCCUACUGCACCUAGCCUGACGAAAUGAAAAGGUUGCAAAGAAAGUUUUGAGUUUUUAGCCGUUGCGCAGCAAAUUUGCAAUCAAGAAGAAGAGAGGGAGCGAAUAGCGAUGGAGCAGAGCGCCGGGCAGAGGAGCUCCGUCGCCACCAAUGCCACCGUCGAUCUGGAGGUACUCGACUGCACCGUCUGCUGUCAUCCCCUCAAGCCUCCAGUCUUGCAGGUACUCAAUCAUCCUUGUCUCUAAUAUUGUAAAAUUGGUUCCUUUUCUGUCUUUCUACCAUGGAUGUAUGAGCAACAUUCACCAUGUAUUGAUCUUGAUUAACCUGUUUUUCGGGUCCUCUUUUUUUUUUUUUUGGUAGUGUGGAGUUGGGCAUGUCAUUUGUUCGUCCUGCCAUGGCAAGCUCCCGGACAAGAACAGGUGCCACGUCUGCGCCAUGGACACCGCGUACAACCGCUGCUUCGCCGUGGAGCAAAUCCUGAGGUCCAUCCUGGUGCCUUGCCGCAACGCCGGCUACGGGUGCGACGCCAAGACGGCCUACCACGACAGCGACAGCCACGAGGACGGGUGCCCGCACGCGCCGUGCUUCUGCCCGGAGCCCGGGUGCGGCUUCGCCGGCGCGACCUCGUCGCUGCCCGCGCACUUCACCGGCGGCCACGGCUGGCCGCCCGCCACCGAGUUCAGGCGCGCCAGGGCGUUCGACCUGCAGGUCCAGGAGGGCAAGCGGGUCCUCCGCGACGUGGACGGCGGCCACCUGUUCCUGGUCGACGUCGCGCCGGCCGGACCCGCCGGCCUCGCCGGCGCCGUGCUCCUCCUGGAUCCCCAUGCCGGCGCGAAGGCGAAGCCCAAGUUCGAGUGCCACGUCGCGUUCCACUGCCGCGCCACGGGGUGGCGGUCGUCGUCGGAGUUCCCGGUGAGGAGCACGGCCCUCGACGGUGGGUCGUUGCCGGCCGACUGCUACGCGUUCGUCGUGCCCAGGGUUGCUCAUCCGCCCGCCACCGCCAGCAUCAUCGUGUCCGUCUACGACGUCUCCAAGAAACGACCACGCAACGGUGACAUUCGGCAACACCUGAAGUCCCGGGUCAACUAAUUAGUUUUUGUAUCUCUAAACCUAGUACUCCUACUCCCUCUAGUACAAUGUACCAACUAAUCAUCACCCUGAUGAUGCUUAAUCUUCCACAAUUGUACGAACUGAUCAUCACCCUAGUGAUAAGGUGAGCGAGUACUGCGCAGAAGUGGAAUUUGUUUUGCUUUUGUCAAGCAGCAGCUUCAACAAAACCAUUGACAUUCUUUUCCUAUUUACGAGGAAUUUCAUCAAGUUCAGCGACCUCUUUCCCUAGUUCACUAACCUACAAUACAUAACAAGAUAUUCCGUAAUGUGCGAAUUUAAAUCGACAACAGAACAUGGCGCACAUCUGCAUAUGAUUUACAACGAGCACUGAAGUUGUUUUUUCAUAUGAUAAAUCCAAAACUUCCCUUCUUGUCUUGACUUCUAAUUGGUUCCUGAGGUGCAAACAACUUGCAUUUCCUCGGAAUUGUUGGUGUUGUUGCCCUCCAAAGUAGAACUGCAAGGCCCAGCUUGUACCGUUUCUGUGUCCAGGAAUGUUUCCACUGGAGAUCCGUUAUGCUGCUCAACUUCAUCUCUUCUAGAUAUUGGAGCAUCAGCUUCGGCAAUGAAAGUUGUAGCCAUUAUUUCACUCAAAUUGAAGCCACCAGACCUAUCAUCUUCCAGAACUGAAACAGGGUAUGAGGUUAAAGCUUCUACAUUCACUUCAUGAUGUUGCCCAGUUUCACAGCUUUCUGAAAAUAUAACAGUAUCUGCUGUUUGAGAAAAAUAGGAAAAUUCUUUAUUAGCAGCCCCUGAGUCAACUUCUCCCUUCCCAGCACCUGGAUUGCUGAUAAAUUCUGCAUGCACUGUCCUCAGUCCUAUUUUUGCAGAAGACCUCUCGUACAUACUACUUUCCGUGCUCAAGAUUGUUGGACGAAUCUCCAUACCAAUAUCAAAAAGAGAUGAACCCUUUGAUUUACUAGUAAUUGUUUCAGCUUCACAAUCUACUGAAGAGGACAGAUUUAUAUUUUCUAGUGAAGACCCCUGGUGUUGUGUAUUUUGGCUGCUCAUGUUUGCUCUAGGGUCAAUUGCUGCUUCAUCACCAGCAUUUAAUCCCACAUCGUCGUCAUCCGAAGCAUCAUCAAGGCACUCUGUCUGAAUUGUUUCCACGUCUGGUUCCUGCGAUGUUCCCUGAAGCUCAACUCCACCUGUAGGUGUUAGAAGAGUAUCCCUUUUCACAACAUUAAACAGAAUACCAUUUUCAAUCUUUUCGGGUUGCAGUAAGUCGCCUUCAGAAACCAUGAUACUUGUUGAACAACCAAAUGGAGAUCUAGGGACAUUACUAUCAUGAGGAUCAUAACCUGAAUUGCCCAAGCUCCUAUCAGGAGUAAUAGGCAUUGCACUGUUGUCAACAGAUUCUCUACCAAUUGCCUGAGAAACCAAGAAAUUAGCAUUUGGUGUUACAACAUCAGUUCUGUCUUCCCUCGAUGAAAUUGUUCUGAACUCUGUGUCAAUCUCAAGAUUCUGAACAAAACUGACGAAUUUGUUGGCUGAGGCUGUCCUCAUAAGAGGGCCACCACUUCUUGUCCAUGAGUUUAAGUCUAUACUCUCAGAUUCACUGUCACUGCCAUCAUGUACAUUUUGUUGGACAUGAUGGUUUUUGUUAGAUGGUCCAGCAAUUCCUCCAUCUGCAUGAUGGUUUGUACGAGGAGAUAUAAGGAAUUCUUCUUCAAGGGAACCAGAUGAAUUUUCUCUUGCUAUGAGAUUCCAUGAUGGAAUCCUUCUAGAUGGGCAGAGUCUGAUUGUAGGACCAUGUCCUUGUGAAGCUGCUGCUCUUUCCGCGCUUCUCUUUAGCCUACGCAUAUGGUUCAACAGGGCAACACAUUCAUCUAGUACCAGCUCAAUAGCACAAUUUGCCCUAAUGGCUGAUAACUUCUCCCAGGUGCAUCGCCUACCCUGAUUUGCAGCCUUCUGAAGCUCAGCGUAAGAUGGAUUCUGUAUGAUCUUGGAAUACUGAUGAUAACAAGAAAGAAUUCAUUUGUAAGUUUACCAGUUAAUGCCAAGGAUAUUUGUGAAAGAAAGGAAUGGGAAAUAUUAAAGACCUGAGCAAGCGUGGCUGGCAUAACAACUGUGACAUCACCUUCCCAAUCUUGAGCAAACAACUUGGCUAUUCCUCCUAAAGGAAAUCCAAGUUCGAGAAUUUGGUUGCACCUAUGCUUAACUUCCAUCUCAGCAAGUUCAGCCAACUACAUACAGAUAGUAUUGAAGAAUCUAUGAGAUCAUACAACAAAGCACUUAAAUACAUGCUUGCCCAUAGAGGCAAAGCAAGGAAAUUCAUAAGCCUAGGGCUCAACUAAUCUGAUUUGUUAAAUUUCAAACUUUUACAUAGUUUUUUCACUUUUUAAAUGGAUUUCGAAGAGAUUAAGGAGACAAGCCUAGAGUUCAAACCCUAAUUUCCCUAGGCUUGUCUCCUCCCCUGCUUGCCCAUAGCAGUUUUAGUAUAUUGAAUUAUUCAUCAGACAUAAAAUUCAACUAAUAUCUGCAGUGAACUAAACCUUGCUGAGCAUAGUUCUACACUAGGCUACUAAGCCACAAACAUGCCUGAAAUACUGAAAGUUAUAUCAUGUAGCAAUCCAAGUGAAAAUAAAAAUCCUUCCCACCAUGAAAUCGAUAUCAAGUUAUAUCACAGACAGCUCAAGUAAAUAAACAAUCAAAAAUAAAGAAUGCAAUAUGGAAUGUUUUUGACACGCACCUUGGCAGCAAAACUGCCUCCAUAAGCCCUGAUAAUUUCCUUGAGUCUCAACAGUGGAGCUAUGUGAGGAUUGGCUUGGCUUACUAUGAAAUGAUUCACAUUGAAUAAUUCCUUCAAUUGCUUCAUUGGCAAAUCACUUUCCAAGCUCCCAUCUCUCCAACGCCGAGUUGUAGCACCAACUCUUUCUUCCAAGCCCAACAGGAAAGGAGCAUGAAAAGGAACUGUUUCUCCAAAUCUGUCUUUUGCCAUCAACUCUUGGGCCUCAAAAAGACCAGGAAAAGCACAGGAAGCAGUUACUGCACUCCAGAUGAGAACAUGAGGUGAUGUCAAAUAGUUCAGGCAUCGAGGUGGCUCAUGCUUCCUUGGAGAACACACAGUGACAACAAGAAUCCGGCCCGUCAUGUCAUAGGCCUCUUGGAAUGUCAAAUUGCUGGUAAGAUUUCUCAAAAGCGUCUGCAAAUGUCUAAUGUCAUGAACAGCUCCAUGAGUCAAAAUCCUUUUAACUACGGGAAAGAUCCCGCCCAUCUGGUCAAAGAACUUCAAGGAAUGCCACUCCUCGAAAAAGCUCUCCAGCUCUGGCCAUGACCUUGUUGCUACUAUGGAGCACAUUAUAGAACCAACGCUAGAUCCUGAAAUUAUCCUUGGCAGAAGCUUAUGUUCUACCAAUGUUUUCACAACACCCACAUGGAAACAACCUAGAGAAGCACCCCCGCUUAGCAGCAAGGCUGUUCUACCGAAGGCAUGUCUUGUCUCAUGCAUAAAUGCAAGUUUCUCUUCGAGAGGCAAGUCGUCUGAAUCAGAAUUACAUACCAUUUUCAGCUGAGUAGAUACUUCCUCAAUGUACUCCUUUAUGAGUUUCGGCACCUGGCAAUAUGACAUAGUGAUAUAUAAGAAUAGACAUUUGAGUAGAUGCUCCAAUGGGGACAUCAAAAGGGGAUCCUAUCAGGCUAUCACUAUGAAUAUGAGUACUUCGUAUAAUUUGUUGCCGUACUGACAUAACACAAACAAAUCAUCCGAACAAAGUGAAAAAAAUUUCCAAGACUAUCUUGGUGUGUGUAAUGGAAGUGGAUCCACUUCGCAGAUUUAGUGUAAUGGAAUUACUUUACUUCAGUUGUAACAAAGGGAAAGUAGAAGCAUUGCUGAAGUUCUGAGAAUUAGCUAUCCUAACUCCUAACAACCAUCUAAUUGCAUCAAAUUUGCGGGCGUAAUACAGGUUAAGAUUAGAGCAGUUACCUGCAGCCUCCCCUUGUGGAGCUCGGAGUUGCACAUGUUGCCGAGAUUCCUGAGCAGGUCGGCGCGCAUGCAGAAGACGAUGUCCCUGAGCGAGCCCUCCUGGCGGCGGUGCCUGAGCUCGCGGAGCUUGUUGCGCACGAGCUCCUCGUCGUAGAGGUCGGCGUCGGUGGCGCGGCGCGGGGUCUCGCGGUCCAGCAUCCGCGCGGCGUGCGCCCACUCCUCGUAGGUGAGCGCGGCGCGCAUCAUGUUCCGCCAGAACUUGCGCCGGUACGCGGACUGCACCCGCGCCCGGACCCCGGCGCGCCCGCCGCCCCGCCCCCGCACCCGCAGCAGGAGCGCGACGGCGCAGACGGCGAGCAGGAUCCCGCGGGUGUUGUCCCGCGGGUGCAGCCAGCCCGCCGCCACGGGGAGCGCGGCCCGCAGCGCCGCGGCGAGGCGGUGGCGCAGCCGCCCCAGGGAGCCGCAGAGCAGCACCCGCAGCGCCAACGCGCGGCCCAGCGCCGUGGACGGGCCGAUCGCGAACACCCCCACCGGCGCCUCGCUGCUGAUCGCGUCCAUGGCCACGGGCGAGCGGACGGGCUCAGGAGGCGAAAGAGCGCGGGGGGGUUUGAUGGCUGCAAGCCGCGGGCGCGAUGGGCAUGGCGUGUGGGAGUCGCCGAGUCGGGGAGCUUGGAGAUUUGGAGGUGGCGCGGCCGCCGAGCGAAGCGAGACGGGGGAUCAAGAGGGGGACGAGUUGGUUUCGUCUCGUCUCGCGGUCGCGGGCUCGCGGCGGCGGAUCGGCGGGUGGGGACAAAAGGGCGUCCGAGUCAGAGCCCAGGAAUGGGAAGCGAGGAGAUAAGGGAGGUUACGCGACGGAACCAACUAAACUGCAUCCGCGGCAAUCACGCCAAGUCGGGAUGGGCGCGCCGGCUGCCUGGAACCGAAGAGAACCGCGCGUCCGGCGCGCGCCGGAUCUAAACCGAUCGAAUGGAUGGUGCGACGAUUGAUGUCAGGGGCGCGACCAGCAGUUUGGGCAUCAGGAAGUAGAUCUUGCCAUGAGUAGAUGGCAGAAGCCGCAGAACACACCAUGGUUCUUUUUCUGAUAAUGAAAUGGGGCGUCCCGGCCUUUUUUUUUAAAGAGUUACAACCAAUUAUUACAAUCUCACACUCAAAAUGAUAAAUUGAUAAGUGUUGUUGUGUUGGUAACACCAACUUACAAUUUUUAAUCAGAAAAGGCUCAUUACGGGACUCUGUGAGAUCAUCCGAUGAUUUAGUUGGAUUUUGGUGUCAGCCUCAUACCAUUUUACAUUAGCCUAGAGAGAUGAGGAAGUGACCCAUUUAACAAUUAACAUCUUGUAUCGUGGUCCUCGAGUCAAACCAGACGCACACGUGGAGACGAUAUGUGAUCUUCUGGGCUGAAAGACAAGUUGAACUAAACAUAAACCUAACUACUCCAGUUAUUAUAGUCCUUGCGAUGAAAGUAUGAAACCUAUGUAGGAGUAUUUAGAUUCGAGGCCAGACUCAGUUUGCUCAUAUCGCAGACAUGGGUUUGUUCGGUGAUCAAAACGCUUUGCAUUGACGAACGAAUAAACUGAGGCAUCACGAAGUAGAUCUUGCAUACAUGACGAACGAAACGUGUAUGCCGCUUUUGGAAGGUUAUAGUUUAGCUUGAUGGCUAGAUAAUUCUUGUUUACAGCUCCAGAAGACCACAAGUAGUUGUCGUGAACGCACGUCCCAUGAGAUUUUGGGCUGAUAGACUCUCAGAGGAUGGUCAUAUGCUGCGUCAUAUGCAUGGUAUAGACAGAAGAACCAUGACCAUGAUUACAGUGUACUAUUGUGAUACAUCUCGAUGAACCUAUUUGGCCAUUUGUAGUGGAGAUAUGUUAUAGACAACUGUUGGAAAUAUAGUCAUUAUUCGGUAUAUUUUAAUCCAAGGAAUUGAAACUAUGAUCAUGGCAUAAGCAGUGUAGGGUGAUCUUAACAUAACCAGUAGCAUACUAUGCGCAUCAUGAAUGUCAGAAACAGGAACAUACCAGUAAUGCGAUAACAUGCUAGAGGCAUCAUGUAGAACAGGAACAAGAACAUAGCGCAUACAGUAUAGCGCUAACAAUGGGAACAGGAGUAGCGCUAACAGCAGUAGAAGGAGAAGAUUAUACCCCGAGAAUGGCCCUCCGCUGGAUGGUGAGGCAGAAUUGCCUCCGUUGUUGUAGUCGUUCACGGCACCUCCUCCUGGCGCACCAGCUCCGGAUCCAGCUCCUGUCGGCGUCGGCGGCGGCGCAGCUCCUGUCGGCGGCGGCGCACCACCUCCGCCAAUAGCGGCGGCAGCAACUCCAGACAUGGCAAUGAGCAGUCGUGCAGGAGGCACUCCCCAAAAACCUGAUCACCCGCCUACCCGGUGCAGAUCUCAGGCGAAGGUGUGGUUUCGGAGGCACUGCUUCUUCCAAUCUCUCGUGCGCGCAAGAGAUCAGAAGCGGGGAAGCGAGAGCAACUCAGGCGCGGAGAAGGAGAAACUAACACCGGGAAAGAAGCGAGGAACUCGGAUCGGACUCGCGGCCUCCUUAUCUAUCAGGAGAAAGAACGUGGACGCGUUGUUGCGGAGGGAAUCGUGGGAACGUGGGUUAGUGGCUGCAAAAGGAUAGCGACGUGACGCACGCACGCACGCCCGCCGCCAGCCAGCCACGCCUCGCCCACGCCCACGGCCCGGCGCGCGCGCGCGCGCGUGUGGCAUUCCGACCCCCACCUCAACUGGUCAACAGGGAGCCUCUAAUAACUCCCUAUUUAGGUUGAGAUAUUUCUCGCUUAAAUCCAGAGGUGGUAUUAUUAUCCUCAACAUUUAUUAUGGGCCUUUGAGAUUUAAUAUUAUAAGUUGGGCCUAGCCCAAUUAUUCUAACAAUCCCCACCAAAUUUCAAGGCUCAUAAGAAAUGUUCUCAAGGCUGUGCCUGUUUGAUAUAUCAGAGUUUUUGUGGAGACUGUUAAGUUGAACUUCCACCUAGGAAAUGAGCUACAUCAGACCACAACUGAACAAUGGACUAUGCCUUGAAUUGUAAGUUUUGUGUGAUCAGGUUUCACUCAGAACCUUGACUGGUACUGGGCUGCCGUUCGCAUCCCCUCUGUUUGGAGCAUAUAAGUCAAACUCCAGGCCUUUCAUGAGUAUCUAGAGAUUGCCCAAACCUCAUAGACUGUGACUAGCAGUCGAACUCAUAUAGGUGUGUUCCUUCUGAGAUGUUCUGCAGGUCAACAUCUCUGCUUGGAAAAGCCACUCGGAUCACAUUAAGACAUAAGCCAUCCUACCAUGCAGGAAAGAAGAGAAGCACAUCAUGAAAAUGAGCCCCUUUCAAGAGUCUCUUCUCUCAGUCACACAAUAAUUUGUUUCACCAUCCAAAUUCACGGGAUCUCCGAUCACAAUGGACAGGUUUCCACUAUUAUGCAACCUUAGGUGGGUAUCAAGCCCAUUUCCCUCGAUGCACUGUCUAUCACAUUACGUGGUAGCCCCUUGGUAAACUGAUCUGCCAGAUUUCUAGCCGUUUGGACAUAGUCCAAUGCUAUCACUCCGGAGUUUUUCUGCUUUCUGACAGAUUUCAGUCUUCUCUUGAUGUGUCUAGAUGACUUCAUGUUGUCCUUUGAACUGUUCACUUUAAUAAUCACUGUUUGAUUAUCGCAGUUCAUUAGGAUAGCUGGCACUGGUUUUUCAACCACUGGCAAAUCCAUCAGGAGUUCACGAAGCCACUCAGCCUCAACUGUCGCAGUAUCUAGUGCUGUAAGUUCUGCUUCCAUUGUUGACCUCGUUAAGAUGGUCUGCUUGCAAGACUUCCAGGAAACAGCGCCACCUCCAAGUGUGAACGCAUAUCCACUUGUGGCUUUUAUCUCAUCAGCAUCAGAUAUCCAGUUUGAGUCACUAUACCCUUCUAGUACUUUUGGAUACCCGGUAUAGUGAAUUCCAUAGCUCAUAGUGCCCUUUAGAUAGCGCAUUACUCUUUCCAGAGCCUGCCAAUGAUCAUCUCCCGGAUUUGAGACAAACCGGCUCAGCUUGCUUACAGCAAAUGAGAUGUCAGGCCUCGUUGCGCUAGCCAAGUACAUCAAUGAACCAAUGAUUUGAGAGUAUCUCAGUUGAUCCCUUGCUAUUCUUCGGUUUUACCUUAAUAGCACGCUGGGAUCAUAAGGAGUAGGAGCUGGCUUACAGUCACUAUAUCCAAAGCGACUCAAAACCUUGUCCACAUAGUGGGAUUGCACAAGUGUAAUCCCACCCUCAUCUCCUCUUUGUAGUUUGAUGUUAAGAAUAACAUCAGCCUCUCCCAAAUCCUUCAUUUCAAAACUCUUGGACAGAUAGUCUUUGACCUCCUCAAUCACAUUAAGGCUGGUCCCAAAGAUCAGUAUGUCAUCGACAUACAAGCAUAAGAUCACCCCUUCUCCCCCACCAUAGCGAUAGUAUACACAUUUGUCAGCUUCGUUCACAACAAAGCCUGCAGAUGUAAGCGUGGUGUCAAACUUCUCAUGCCAUUGCUUAGGUGCUUGCUUGAGGCCAUACAAGGAUUUCAAUAGUUUACACACCAUUCCCUCCUGACCUUCUAGUACAUACCCGUCUGGUUGAUCCAUAUAGAUCUCCUCCUCCAGCUCUCCGUUUAGGAAAGUUGUCUUAACGUCCAUCUGAUGGACGAGAAGACCAUGAGAGGCUGCCAGAGCAAGUAGUACUCGAAUCGUAGUCAAGCGAGCAACUGGUGAAUAUGUGUCGAAGAAAUCCUCGCCUUCCUUUUGGGUAUAACCCUUGGCCACAAGCCUUGCCUUAUACUUUUCGAUUGUACCAUCAGGCCUAAGCUUUUUCUUGAAAACCCAUUUGCAUCCUACGGGCUUACAUCCAUAUGGACGCUCAACGACUUCCCAAGUACCAUUAGACAUAAUCGAGUCCAUUUCACUGCGUACUGCUUCCUUCCAGUAGUCAGCGUCAGGAGAUGAAUAUGCCUCUUCUAUGGUUCUUGGGGUGUCAUCCACGAGGUAUACAAUGUAGUCAUCUCCAAAGGAUUUUGCAACCCUUUGUCUCUUACUCUUGCGAGUAUCUACAAUGUUGUCCUCCUCAGGAUUUUCCUCAGGCGUUUGAUCAUUGUGUUCUAUCGGUGCAAAGUGCUCAUGGGGCAUGACAGUUUCUUUACUAGAAGUGCUAGGUGUAUAUUUCAUAGGAAAUUCAUUCUCAAAGAAAGUAGCAUCUCUGGACUCAAAAAUUGUACCAGCAUGCAUGUCGGGUACUCCAGAGUUUACUAUUAAGAAUCUAUAACCCACACUGUGGAUAGCAUAACCAAGAAACACACAAUCAACAGUUUUUGGUCCAAGUUUCCGCUUUUUGACUAUAGGUACAUUUACCUUGGCCAAACAGCCCCAUGUUCGUAGGUAUGAGAGAUUUAAUUUCUUCCUUUCCCAUUCCUCGAAUGGUGUUACUUCCUUGUGCUUCAUUGGAAUUUUAUUCAGGACAUGACACGCAGUCAGAACUGCCUCACCCCACCAUUCCUUGGAAAGCCCCGCAGUGUCUAACAUGGCAUUCACCAUCUCAGUUAGAGUACGGUUCUUUCUUUCGGCCACCCCAUUUGAUUGGGGUGAAUAGGGAGGCGUCAUCUCAUGAAUAAUUCCAAACUCUUCGCAAAAGGAUGCAAACUCAUUGGAAAAAUACUCCCCACCUCUAUCAGACCUCAACCGUUUGAUUUUCCUUUCAAGUUGGUUUUCUACCUCAGCUUUAUAGAUUUUAAAGUAAUGCAAUGCCUCAUCCUUUGUUUUCAAUAGAUACACAUAGCAAAAUCUAGUGCAAUCAUCUAUCAGUGUCAUGAAAUAUUUCUUUCCCCCUUUAGUCAACACGCCGUUCAUUUCGCACAAAUCGGAAUGAACAAGUUCCAGAGGUGCCAAAUUCCUCGCCUCAGAUGCCUUGUGAGGCUUGCGAGGUUGUUUCGAUUGAACACAAGUAUGGCACUUGGAACCUUUGACCAAAGUGAAUUUUGGAAUUAAACUCAUGUUAGCUAAGCGCAUCAUACAACCGAAAUUCACAUGACAGAGUCGCGAAUGCCACACAUUAGACUCAUCAUUCUCGCUAAUAUGGUUCACAGCGUUAUGAUUAUUACACAUGUCAUUCAAAGAAAAGCGGAACAAGCCUCCGCUGUCAUAACCUUUUCCAACAAAAGUCCCAUAUUUAGAUACGACACAUUUAUUGGACUCAAACACAAGUCUAAAACCUUCUCUACACAAUAGAGAGCCGCUAACUAGAUUCUUCUUUAUUGAAGGGACAUGCUGCACGUUCUUCAGCUGCACGGUCUUUCCCAAAGUAAACUUCAGAUCGACCGUACCAACACCAUGAACAGCCGCAAGCGACCCGUUUCCCAUCAACAAGGAGGAACCUCUCCCGACCUGAUAAGAAGAAAACAGAGAAAUGUCAGCACAUACAUGAAUAUUAGCACCAGUAUCCACCCACCAAUCAGGUGAAUGAAAAACAGAGAGAACUGUAGGUAAUAUUUUACCGUACCCCGAUGUUCCUCCGCCCUCGCUAAUGAUCAUGUUGGCAGACUUCAUGUCUUUGCGCUCAGGACAGUCCUUGGCCCAAUGCCCAGACUUGCCACACACAAAGCAGUCUCCCUUUGCCUUUCCCUUGCCUUUCUUCUUAAAAUUGGUUGCAGCCUUGGGUUUGACAUCAGGCUUGACUUUCUUGUUGUUGUGGGAUGCAUGAGGGUUCUUCUUCUGUACCAUAUUGGCACUAGAACCUCCCUCAACCUUUUUGCCCCGGACGUCCUUUGCCCUCACCUUCUCCUCAACACCCAAAGAGCCAAUGAGAUCAGGAACACUGAACUCUUGUCUCUUGUGCUUUAGAGAAGUGGCAAAGUCCGACCAAGAAGGUGGUAGUUUGGCAAUAAUGCCACCCGCCACAAACUUGUCCGGCAACUCACAGUUGUUGUUCUCAAGUUCCUUAGCCAGCAUCUGAAUCUCAUGAGCUUGUUCUACUACAGAACGGUCAUCGACCAUCUUGUAGUCAUAGAACUGCUCCAUGACAUACAGCUCACUACCGGCGUCAGAAACUCCGAACUUGGCCUCAAGUGCAUCCCACAUGUCCUUCCCAGAAGGCAUGUGCAUGUACACGUCCACUAUGUUGUCAGUGAGUACACUGAUCAAUGCUCCACGGAACAGGCAAUCCGAAGCCUCGAACUUAGCCUCUUCCUCAGGAGAAAGAGGUGGUUCACUUCGUUUACCCCGUGAAACAUAGAAGCACUGCAUCGCUGUCAACCACAAUAGUGCACGUGCUUUCCAUCUCUUAUAGUUUGAACCAUCAAAAGCAUGUGGUUUCAGUGCAGCAGCAAAGCCAACUACCGAAAAUGACCUAUCAGGUUUUUGGAUUGUUGGAAAUAUAGUCAUUAUUCGGCAUAUUUUAAUCCAAGGAAUUGAAACUAUGAUCAUGGCAUAGAUCUUAACAUAACCAGUAGCAUACUAUGCGCAUCAUGAAUGUCAGAAACAGGAACAUACCAGUAAUGCGAUAACAUGCUAGAGGCAUCAUGUAGAACAGGAACAAGAACAUAGCGCACACAGUAUAGCGCUAACAAUGGGAACAGGAGUAGCGCUAACAGCAGUAGAAGGAGAAGAUUAUACCCCGAGAAUGGCCCUCCGCUGGAUGGUGAGGCAGAAUUGCCUCCGUUGUUGUAGUCGUUCACGGCACCUCCUCCUGGCGCACCAGCUCCGGAUCCAGCUCCUGUCGGCGUCGGCGGCGGCGCAGCUCCUGUCGGCGGCGGCGCACCACCUCCGCCAAUAGCGGCGGCAGCAACUCCAGACAUGGCGAUGAGCAGUCGUGCAGGAGGCACUCCCCAAAAACCUGAUCACCCGCCUACCCGGUGCAGAUCUCAGGCGAAGGUGUGGUUUCGGAGGCACUGCUUCUUCCAAUCUCUCGUGCGCGCAAGAGAUCAGAAGCGGGGAAGCGAGAGCAACUCAGGCGCGGAGAAGGAGAAACUAACACCGGGAAAUAAGCGAGGAACUCGGAUCGGACUCGCGGCCUCCUUAUCUAUCAGGAGAAAGAACGUGGACGCGCUGUUGCGGAGGGAAUCGUGGGAACGUGGGUUAGUGGCUGCAAAAGGAUAGCGACGUGACACCCGCCCGCCGCCAGCCACGCCACGCCUCGGCCACGGCCACGGCCCGGCGCGCGCGCGCGCGUGUGGCAUUCCGACCCCCACCUCAACUGGUCAACAGGGAGCCUCUAAUAACUCCCUAUUUAGGUUGAGAUAUUUCUCGCUUAAAUCCAGAGGUGGUAUUAUUAUCCUCAACAUUUAUUAUGGGCCUUUGAGAUUUAAUAUUAUAAGUUGGGCCUAGCCCAAUUAUUCUAACAAUGGCGGCGGUGGUGCGCCGCCGCCGACAGGAGCUGCGCCGCCGCCGACGCCGACAGGAGCUGGAUCCGGAGCUGGUGCGCCAGGAGGAGGUGCCGUGAACGACUACAACAACGGAGGCAAUUCUGCCUCACCAUCCAGCGGAGGGCCAUUCUCGGGGUAUAAUCUUCUCCUUCUACUGCUGUUAGCGCUACUCCUGUUCCCAUUGUUAGCGCUAUACUGUGUGCGCUAUGUUCUUGUUCCUGUUCUACAUGAUGCCUCUAGCAUGUUAUCGCAUUACUGGUAUGUUCCUGUUUCUGACAUUCAUGAUGCGCAUAGUAUGCUACUGGUUAUGUUAAGAUCACCCUACACUGCUUAUGCCAUGAUCAUAGUUUCAAUUUCUUGGAUUAAAAUAUACCGAAUAAUGACUAUAUUUCCAACAACAACAACUAUAAACACAAUAUUGACCUGGUCUGGUCAUGCCAUAUCCUCCUUGUCCAACUCAAACUGCAGUGCUAGUGUUAAUCAACACGAUUCAAAUUAACGAUUUUCAGCCGGUGAAGAAUCUUCUCCAUGACUGCCACGGAAGAAAACCGCCUGUCAAUGAAACACGGCGACACACAUUGUCAGUUAUCAUACUGUCAGCACACCACACAGUUCAAGUCCUGAAAAAUUGCUGCUGCAAACAUACUGAAACAGAGGAUUCAGUACGUACCACACCCUUGGCAGCGAACGUAGUAAUCCUUCUUCAUCACAAGCCCAGAGCCUCCACAGAUUUCACAUUUCUUCUGUGCAAUCUGAAAUACAGGAGAAGACAAUAAUCAAGUGAAGGACAGUAAAACUUGGUAAGGAAUGGUCUGAAACUCUGAAUGUCUGAUCGAUAAGCACUAUCCUCUUCACACUCGUAUUUCAGUGUCAAACUGUCAAUAAGAACUGUUUAAUGAACAUUAGUACUAACAACUAGCUGCUCCAUCCGUUCCCAAAUAUUUGUCACUAUUGCAUAACCCUCACUUUCAUGAUAAGUACUCCCUCCGUCCCAAAAUAUAGCAACUUUUGGUUGGAUGGGAUAAAUCUUAGUACUAACGAAUCUGGACAUGCCUCUAUGUCCCAUCUAACUAAAAGUUGCUAUAUUUUGGAACGGAGGGAGUAGUAUUUUUGCGUUCAGUUUAGAGGGGCAGCAAAGAGGACUGGAGUCUGGAGGGUGCAAUUCUACUCAGCAGAUUUCAUGCAGCUAGCGACUAGCGAGCAAGGAAACAGUAAACCAACACUCACAAUUCUCUUGCCGAACUCGACCCCGGCGACGACGAAGGGAGUCACUCCAGCUGCACAAAACCCGGUCAAUACCAUACCAUGAUCAAGCACAUCACAAUUUGUGGGAAGUGAUGAGGAAGCGAAGCCGAACCGAAGCGUACGACAACAUGGACGCACCUACAGCGCCGACGACGAUCUGCCACGUGAUCUGCGGGGGCGGGACGUCCGCCGCGGCGGACGCCGCCGCGGCGGCAACGGCCGCAGCGGCGGACGGCCCGUCCACUGCGCGAGCGACGGCGCCCCGGCCGGCGGGAGCGGGAGCGGCCCUCCUGCCGACGACGCUGCCGGCAGCCGGGAAGAGGUCGCCGCGCCCGGGGACCGCCAGGCCAGGCAGCGGGCCACUGCCCGGCAGGCAAGGGGGAGCAAAAGCACGAGGCCGCAUCGCCGCCACAAUCUGCACGGGCUCUGCUUCUGGUUGGUCGGGCGAGCGUCCACUUGUAUUCGUUCUGGCAGUGCUAGCCGGGAGCGAGGCUCUAUGGCCUCUACCACACGAUGCUUCUUUCCACGAUAAAUACUCUAUCCACCAUAAAUACUCCGAGUUUCCAACAUCAAAUUUAUCCACAUUGUGAGGCUUGGCGAGGGGUGAGGAUUUUUUAAAAAAAUUCUUUUUGCCAACACUUUGCUUACUCACAAGUCCAUAACUACAUAGGAGUAUUCACAAUUCCAGAUAAAACUAAAAAUUCCCGAGUUGUAGAGUUCACCUUGUUACGCCGCACGAGAUUGCAGCAAUCAACAAAAUAUUAUUACGCCCGGAACUCAUGUGAGCGAAUACCAAACAAAAUUCUUUUAAUGACAUGUUCCUCACUUGAUCGAAUGUGCUUUGAUCAUAAAAUUCCAGCGUAAUUUGGUUAGAUACCUAUCCCUCGGUACGAAUAAGAAAAAAGGGGGGGGGGGAACGUGCAAUAACUAUCAAAGUAAAAGGUAUCUCUGGGACCCAAGUUGACAAAAUUACAAUUCCGAAAUUAAAAGGCUCACUCAGAACUCAGAACAGAGGUGUCGUGCCUGUAAAGUGUUGUAGAUUACUCAGAUUUCCUUCCAAAAGAUCUAUAAUCAUCUCCGCCAUAAGCGGCCCUGAUGCUUUUGCUCCUGCAUGCGCCUACAAAAAUGGCAGAUUAUGUUCGUUAGGUUGUGGUAAAAAUGUGGCUUGCAACACAUUUUUUUCCAUGUCCAGGUUAAUGUGAAACAGAUAGUUUGUUCGUUUACAUCAGAGAAUCCACAACGAAAUGCUCGUUGCCAAACAAGAAAGAAAAAUGUCUUGUAGUUACAAGCAUAACAGCAUUUCCUAUAUUCGAGCAUUCGCACAACUAUAACUCUAUAUUAACAAUAUUGAAGAAUAAUAUCGUGUGAAAAACAUAUAAAAUAUACGGUGAUUUUAAUUAAUAUUUUUAAAAUUUUGAGUAUUAGCAUGAGAAAAAAAAAUAUAAAGGCCAACAUUUUGGGAUAGUACGAUAUGAAUAUAAAUGGAAGGUCAGUUUAAUAAAUAUUUUAAUGUAAAAGCAGAGCAUAAGAAUUUUUUUUAUUCAAUGUAGGGGAUCUAUUUGAUAUUUGCUAACUAAAUAUAACUACAUAAAUCAACAUAAAAAUUAAUUUUCUGUUCUCUUCCUUUUUAAUUUUAUUUGGUUUGCAGGUGAAUCGAGCUGGCUAGCUAAGUAGUACAUUCAUCGUAAAAUAAACCUACUUUUAUACAUAAAUGUUGACAUAACCUAUGUUGAGAUUUAUAUGCAUAAAAUAAAUAAAUAUUUUUUUAUAUUAAUAUGGAUAUAGAUUACGAAUAAUGUAUAAAAAUAGUUUAUUUAGGCACAAAUCCUAUUGUUAGUAGGUGAUGAUGUGACAUGGUUACGUGUUGAGCUUUAGGAGUUAAUGGAUACCAACUUUAUACUAAGAUACUCCAUCCAUUCCAUAAUAUAAGGCACAACCACUUUUUUAGAUGUUCCAUAAUACUACCUCCGUUUUUUAAUAGAUGACGCCGUUGACUUUUUCUCACAUGUUUGACCAUUCGUCUUAUUCAAAAAUUUUAUGCAAAUGUAUAAGAUAUAAAUCACACUUAAAGGACUAUGAGUGAUAAAACAACUCAUAACAAAAUAAAUUAUAAUUACGUAAAUUUUUUGAAUAAGACGAAUGGUCAAACAUGUGAGAAAAAGUCAACGGCGUUAUCUAUUAAAAAAUGGAGGGAGUAUAAGAAAUGCAUGCAUGUAGGCAAUUAAUUAUGACCCCUUCUCCAUUAAAUUAUUACUUUUUUAAAUCCUCCACUCUCAUGUUCUCUAAUUCUAUUGGAUGCAUGCAUUGUAUUUAUUAGGAUAAUCCAAACUACAAGAUGAUAAUAAUUAUUUUCUUGGUUUUUGGGUUAAGGGUGGUUAUGACUUAUAUUUUGGAAUGGAGGGAGUAGGAUACGGCAAAAAUUGAAAAGGGUACGGGUACAUAUAGUUCUUUCUGUACUCUUCCUGCUAUUCUCAUUCUCAAGAGUGUUGGAAGGGUCCAGAGUUUUAACGGUAAUGUUUGCUUUUUGACUGCUCCUGCUCUCUUCGAUCCAACGGUCUUUUUUCAUUUCAAUUGUGCAUCUGAUGAGUCAUACUUGUUUGAUGGCGUGGCUUAUUCUGGUGCAAUCCAUGGAUUUACUUUCACUUGAGAAGAUUAGCAUCAGCUACAACUAUUUGAAGAUUAUGGAAAGCAUCUGCUUACCUCUGGUGCUCCUUUGAACGCUCAAUAAACUCAGCAGGUAUAUCACGGCCUUGAUAGGACGCAAGAACAGCCCUGAUAUCCGAAGGUCUUGCCAUAGCAACAUCUGCCGCACAGAUUGACAAGAAUGAAAAACAGAAAUACCAAGGAUGCAAGUGGGGCAAUCAAGCAUGCUUCAAAAACCACAGGAAUGAAAUAAUAUGAGGGGUUAGUUGGCUAAUGCACUUGCAUUCCUAAGAACCACAAAAAUGGAAAAAAAAAAUAACUGGAUGACAGGAUAAUAAGAGAAAUUGAUUAAAAGUCUUACAUUCAAGAAAGGGAAUAAGAUCAAGCAGUUGAGUGUCAUCAUUUUCAAGCUUCCAAGGUUUGAUCUCAACACAAUUUUCAGGCUGCAGGCAUGAUUCCAGAGCAUGCCCACUGAUAUAAAUGACUUGUGCGGGAUUUCUGUUUAGCUUUGAUAAAUCCUGUAAAUGACAACAUAACAUAAAAGACACAAAAAAAAAGUUAUAUGCUGCAAAAAUACAGCUGCCCAGGUGUUUUAAUUACAAAAGAAUAAUAUUGCCUCGUACUCCCUCCGUUUCACAAUGUAAGUCAUUCUAGCAUUUCCCACAUUCAUUAACAUCAAUAUGAAUGUAGGAAAUGCUAGAAUGACUUACAUUGUGAAACGGAGGAAGUAGAUUAUACUACCUACAUCCCUAAAAGAUAGUCUUCUUGGUUAUGAUACUUUAGUUUUAAGAAAACAAAUCCAAGUUCAAAUUCAAAGUAGGAUUUGUCAAGGAAAAAAGAACACCUAACUGUCAGCAAACUGUUCGGUGAGCAGCUUAUCAGCACUUAGAUAAACAACAUGGUCCAUGGUUGAUUUCUAUGGUGGAAAUAAGCGCAAAACAAAAGCACCAUAAUCAAGAGUAGGCUGCAAGCUGAUCCUAUUCACCGUGCCCAUCAUAAAUGGAAAUAGUUAAACAGCUUAGAAAAUAAAUGCCUGUGUAAUAGCUAACAAUGACCAAUACAUGUCAAGCUCAAGGAAGGAAACCUUAUACUGCAAAUUUCCAAAAGUUUAAAAGCAUUAAAGGCCAUUGAAGAAAUUGUAGAUACAGGGUGAUCCAGACUUUGGACUUACACUGUUAACUUUAAGUAACAGUCAUGAGCAAUAGAACAUGCAAUGAUAUUUACCCCAGCCAAAUAAUGCUACCAGCUACUAGUUCACACCUUAUGUAAAGUAUUUGUUGCAAGAAAAGUCUAAGAUGACAGCAACCUGCUGAGAAGAACAACUGACGAUGUCAUAAGGAGAGGGAGCUUUUCGAUAGGUGCCGUGCAGUUCAAAGAGUUAGUUAGCAGUAGGAUGAAGAUUUUUGCACAUGGCAAUGAGAAGUUAAUUAUGGUGUAGGCAACCCAAAUGAAACACCAAAAUAUGCACAAGACAGUUUGUUGUAUUCUGUAGUACAGAAUAAACUAAAGUAAUGAAAGAAGAUGGUGUUAGAAAAUGAAACAAUAUUAUGAGUAAUGUGUGAGCAUUAUGGGACCACGAAAUAAAAAAAGAACAUUUUUAUGAGCAGUGUGUUCUCAAUGAGCCUUGAAUGUUAUCACCCAGGAUAAGAAACCCUUAAGCAAUGAAACAUGCAAGCGUUUAAUGUGCAAAGUUGGCAUUCUCCACGACAUAAUGCAAAAGAAGAUAUAAUCUAUGACAUAGCAAGUCAUGCAUCAUUUCAUGCCUCUGUCAACCUAUUCAUUUCUAGUCAUCUAGGUAAGUAUCUUAAGCUAAAGUGUUAGAACUUCCCAUACAUAAGUCAUAACUGAUGACAAUUGGGUGUAACACAUGACAAACCAGAGAGUCAAGCAAGAUAAAGCAAAAGGAUGUGUACAUAAAACUACAGAGCUAUAUGUCAUGUUGCGAAAAGAGGAGAGCUUAUAAGACAAGCCAUGACUCAAAAAAAAUUCACAUGCCUACUGUGGCCCAUAUAUCAUGCAACAAUCCAAAAACUCACAGGUCUCGGUGUUGAUCGUGUCAACAUGUGACCACCCUAAAAACUCUUCACUAAAUAUUAAAGUAUUGCUAGAACAGAGCUUCAAGAUAUAAGUCAUGAUCACCAACAACCAUGUUCAAAAAGAAAUAGAAAGCUAUGGCACAGCAACAAAAAGCAAAAGCAUGCAUGGAUAUAAUCUUUAACAUCAUCCAUGUCAUAUUGCAAAAGAAAGAAAGAGAGAACAAUACAAAUGAUGUGUCAAUUACACAUCCAUCAUUAUCCAUCCACCUUCCGUGUACCACACUUCAUAUAUCAUGAGUCACUUCAUGUCUGGACAUUAACAAACUCUAUCUUAACAUUCAAAUGCAUGAGACUUUAUCUCACUAUAAAUGCACAAUGAUUUAGCAUUGUUUCUCACAAAACCAUUCAAGUUCAUUAGUACUACAACAACAUGGCAUCCAUAAAUCGCCCCAUAGUUUUCUUCACAGUUUGCUUGUUCCUCUUGUGCAAUGGCUCUCUAGCCCAGCAGCUAUUAGGCCAGAGCACUAGUCAAUGGCAGAGUUCUCGUCGUGGAAGUCCAAGAGAAUGCAGGUUCGAUAGGUUGCAAGCAUUUGAGCCAAUUCGGAGUGUGAGGUCUCAAGCUGGCACAACUGAGUUCUUCGAUGUCUCUAAUGAGCAAUUUCAAUGUACCGGAGUAUCUGUUGUCCGUCGAGUUAUUGAACCUAGAGGCCUUCUACUACCCCAUUACACUAAUGGUGCAUCUCUAGUAUAUAUCAUCCAAGGUUCGUGCAACAAUUUAAGUGCAUAAUGAAUUAAUGAUCAGCUUCCAUGUUUAUAUUGCUUGUAAUUAACAUGCAUGCCAUACUUUCAGGGAGAGGUAUAACAGGGCCAACUUUCCCAGGCUGUCCUGAGUCCUACCAACAACAGUUCCAACAAUCAGGCCAAGCCCAAUUGACCGAAAGUCAAAGCCAAAGUCAAAAGUUCAAGGAUGAACAUCAAAAGAUCCACCGUUUCAGACAAGGAGAUGUAAUUGCAUUGCCUGCUGGUGUAGCUCAUUGGUGCUACAAUGAUGGUGAAGUGCCAGUUGUUGCCAUAUAUGUCACUGAUCUCAACAACGGUGCUAAUCAACUUGACCCUAGGCAAAGGGUAAUUAAGCAGAACUUUUCCAAAGCUAAACAUUUUUACUACUAUUUUGAUAUUUUUAUUCCACUUAUCUUAGAUGAUGAUUUAGCCUUUUAAUCAACUGUUAGGAUUUCUUGUUAGCUGGAAAUAAGAGAAACCCUCAAGCAUACAGGCGUGAGGUUGAGGAGCGGUCACAGAACAUAUUUAGUGGCUUUAGCACUGAACUACUUAGCGAGGCUCUUGGCGUAAGCAGCCAAGUGGCAAGGCAGCUCCAAUGUCAAAAUGACCAAAGAGGAGAAAUUGUCCGUGUCGAACACGGGCUCAGUUUGCUGCAGCCAUAUGCAUCAUUGCAGGAGCAGGAACAAGGACAAGUGCAAUCAAGAGAGCGUUAUCAAGAAGGACAAUAUCAGCAAAGUCAAUAUGGAAGUGGCUGCUCUAACGGUUUGGAUGAGACCUUUUGCACCCUGAGGGUAAGGCAAAACAUCGAUAAUCCUAACCGUGCUGAUACAUACAAUCCAAGAGCUGGAAGGGUUACAAAUCUCAACACCCAGAAUUUCCCCAUUCUUAGUCUUGUACAGAUGAGUGCAGUCAAAGUAAAUCUAUACCAGGUAAAAUGAACAGCACAUUUUUUUCUUGGUAAAAGCUUUAAUGCACACAAUAUGCUAAUGAUGUGCACCUUUUCUAUUGCAGAAUGCACUCCUUUCACCAUUUUGGAACAUCAACGCUCACAGCGUCGUGUAUAUUACUCAAGGCCGUGCCCGGGUUCAAGUUGUCAACAACAAUGGAAAGACAGUGUUCAACGGCGAGCUUCGCCGCGGACAGCUGCUUAUUAUACCACAACACUAUGCAGUUGUAAAGAAGGCACAAAGAGAAGGAUGUGCUUACAUUGCAUUCAAGACCAAUCCUAACUCUAUGGUAAGCCACAUUGCAGGAAAGAGUUCCAUCUUCCGUGCUCUCCCAAAUGAUGUUCUAGCAAAUGCAUAUCGCAUCUCAAGAGAAGAGGCUCAGAGGCUCAAGCAUAAUAGAGGAGAUGAGUUCGGUGCAUUCACUCCAAUCCAAUACAAGAGCUACCAAGACGUUUAUAAUGCGGCAGAAUCCUCUUAGGUCGGCUUGCGGAUAAAGAAUAACUAAAUAAAUAAAUUGCAAGCAAUUGUUUUGCUGCUAUGUACUGUCCAGUCUUUCGACUAAUGAUGAUAAAGCCUCUCUUUAUCCUUAUGUUUGUUCUUUACUUCUACAGUAAUGUUCGAAAAUAAGCAAUUGUUUUGUUCUGUAAUCCAUAAAAAUAUAACACCCCUUUAAGUAGUUAUUUGAAUGACCCACCAUAAAAUUAAUACGCAUGCCACGGCUAUCAAGGUUCCACUGCACCGAAGCAUUUAGGGAAGCUCACCGCACUGGUCUUCUUACUUCACAGGAGAAGGGCAAAGGCCUUGGCCAAGAUGCAGAUAAGAAAUGACUACUCCAAUUCAAAGAUUUUAUUACAUUCAAUGAACAUUGGAAGGAAAAUUUUAAUAGGAGUACGAAAAAAAACCAGAAUUAUUUACAAUACAAUAUAAACCCAUCAUGUUGGAUUGAUAUGAUUUGUAGACAUUUUUACUGUAUAAGAGGAAACUAUACAAGAUAAAACAUGAUGUGUUCUCUCGGUCAUGAAAGCCAGAUCCCAGAGAGCAAAGUGGACAAAGUGGUAUAUGCUUAAUGCAUGGACAGAAACAACUUUGUCAUAACAUCAAUUUUCACUCCUGCCAGUUAUUUGAAGAACAUAAAACACAUUCUAAUCCAUCUCAUGCAUACAUAUGCGUAGCAUACAGUUAGUUACUCAAUAAUCACAAUACUAUCCAAAAAAACAUAGAACAAGCUAGUGUGCAACUUAGCUUACCAAAAGGGUGCUUAAAGGAUAAAUAUAUGAAACUGUUUCAACCAGUGUAUAAUACAACUAAGAGAACAGAUGAUAAGAGCAUAAGACUACCAUACCCGAUAGUGUUUUCCAUUUUCAUAUUUAGUUGCAACUCUUGAUAACCUGUGCUGAACACAGCCCUUUGGAUCCAGUCUUUCAAUAACAGGAUCAACAUACUGUCCAUGUAAAAAAAGUUCAUCUGGGUUUAUAUAUUUUUCAGAAACAACCAAAUUGUUGAGGAAAUUCUGGUAAACCUACCAUACUCAGCUGAUCAGAGUACACAACAAUUUCAUAGAAUUUUCCAAGAUGUUCCAAAAAGGCAUCCACUCCUGGCCUCUUAAAAGUUCUCCAUCCUCGCUCACGCUAUACAUACAUAAAAGAAAUUAUGGGUCAAGCAGCCUCCCAAGGGUCAUAAACAUUUUAUACUAUAUGAUAUGCAUGCUUGAAAACUUAACUAGAAAACAUAAGGACUUCCACAAUAGUUUGGCAAUUUUGCAGUAGACAUACAGAAAGUGAUUACCCUUCUCUAGAGAGAGAGCACAAAAAGACGGUAUAUAUUGUUUCUUAGGAAGUUUAAAUUUAGAUCAAAGUUGAUAUAGGAGAACAGAGAUACAAUUGAUAGAUGAGUGAACUGAAGAAAAAUGAUCACAAGCUUCCAAUCGAACAAGCAAAUAAGUAAAACCAUUUUAAAUAACCAUCCCUUUUUAGAUCAAUCUGAAUGGGGAUUACGAUACUUAGGGCCUGUUUGGAUCUCUGGUUGUACCAAGAGUCCAAGACUAGAUCUUGUAAAAAAAAGAUUUUAGAGGCUAACAACCUAAAACUUUGUUUGGAUCACAUAACAUAUUUAUUAUGUGUCCCAAACGAAAUUUAAUAAGGCAUUAGGUUCUCAAAUCCGUGUAACAAAACAGUUCUGGUAAAACCAGAGAAUCAGAGAUCCAAAACAAAAUCAGCAUGAGCACUUUCGAGUUAUGCCAUACAGCACAGAUGGUAAAGUUCAAGUGCAAAUUUGUGGAGAGACGGGGAAGCCAGAGCGUUAAGAGUUUGCGUAACUGUUAGGAUUGGGUCAUAUUGUAUACUACAUAAGGACUACAUAUCAAAUACCAAGAUAAGUAACUUCGUAGAAAACAUAAAUGUUCACCUUCCAAUCUGAGUAUACAAGAGUCUCAUUCAGAUCCAGAACUAGGGUGAAGACAUGCUGCUCUUGAGGAAGUAGAUCCGGAAGAAGUUUAUCUGAUGAUGGUUCACUAAAGCCCUUUAAUAAAAAUGAGUAUUAGCAUGAUCUGCACGUCUGUUCACAAUAGCCAACAUGGAUAAUGGAGAACAAAAGAUUUAAUAUUUUUUACUGACCCGAAUUUGAUCUUCUAUUUGGCUCCUGGUAUCCAAAUAGAACUCAAUAGCAGCAACAGGAACUGCAAAACAAAACAUAUGUGUUUAAGAAUUGAGACGCAAAGAAAAGGAACAACAAUAAUUAUGCCAUGCAAACAGGAGGAUAACAAUUUAUAGUACAUGAAAGGGUUAAAUGACGAACCCCUGCUAUCUAGGGCACUCAUACCAUGCUUCUUCCCUGUGGUGUAUGUUUGUCUAGAGCCAUAGAGCGCUCUAGACAAUGCAUCAAUUUACUAGAUAUUUAACAAACAGCUUUGUACCAAAGACACAUGCCCUCCGUAGCAACUAGGUGCAGCGCAUGUAAAUAGUAUAAUGGUUAGAUCACAGUUGCUCUAGCUAACUGAUUGUUACACAAAGUGGGUAUUCCCUAGCUAUUUUACACGAGAUUAUAGUACCCCUAGUUUUUUUUUCCAGUUGUGAAGUUUGGGUUACAUAUUUGGAAUUUAUUGUCAGCUUAACAACAGCACCAUGCAUACAGUAAAGUAGAUCUUUCUGACUACCAUUACUUUAGUGCAUACAAAAUUAUAUUUCAGAGAGUGACAAGGCUUAGUUAUUCACUGUGAAGCAGGGUAAAUUUCCCUAAGGUUGGCUGCAAACAAGUAUUUUACAAAGAAAAAAUAACAUGUAAUGGUAAAUUGCUCCUGAUGUGGAUGAAGAAAGGUAUGCAUGACAUGUUGAAACUCUAUAAUCCCGAGGUAAUAUGGUAAGAUAAUGAAGGAGUCAUGUGGUCAGAACCUUUCAUAGCUGCUGAAUAAGCCAUAGCCUGAAACUUCUGCAGAGAGGAAGCAAAUCGUCUAUUAGACAUGGCUGAAAUCCAAAUUCUUUAACCCAAUUCAGAAAUUUAGCUUUUAUCCAUACUCUCAGAAUGCAGGUCUACAAUAGAACAUAUUGUGUCGUACUAGAAUAACUUUUAGUUUCAGAUGCCCAAAUCUCAACUACCCUAUAGCUGUGUACAAAUAUUCACCCCAUGAAACCAAGUUUUUUUACACAGGAAAUCAGAAUUAUGCGGUCAUAUUUCCAAGGGCAUCACUGCUUACUUAUGCAGUCACGCUACUAACCAGCUAGCGACAAGUUAUCACACACCCAAACAUGACAUAUUGACAUGCUACCAUAUUACCUCGAAACCGGACAGGUCAUCACGGAUGGGCUGCUUCGAGUUCUUCCGGAACUCCCGCGUCCUCUGAUCAAUUUCAUCCAGAGAAUAAGCUACACAAGACAAAAACACGAGCACGAAUCAUACGCACAGCACCAAACCGAACCCCUCCCACUUUAAAAUUGAGAAUGGUAGUAGAAACACUGCAAUGCGAAGUAGCAGGGCCGAGAGGCAUCUAGGAGUUUUAGGGAUCAGAGAUCGCACCAUAGCUGACGUAGCCUGUGGCGCCGAACGCGGCGGCGACAACCGCGAGGACGCCGCCCUUGAGCAGGCCCAGCGGCUUGCGGGCCGGCGGGGGCGGCGCGGACGAGGGAUCGCCCGCGGAGGACGAGUAGUCCGUGGCGGCGGCCGCGUCGGAGGCGGCGACGGCCGCCGCAGCCGCCGCUGGCUCUGACGCGGGGGAGGCGGCGGAGAAGGAGCGGGCGGAGAUCCUGGGGAGGAGCGGGACGAGGAGGCGCGACCUCGCGACGCCGUCCAUGGCGUGGUGGCCCAGCGAGAGGAGGGGGAGAGGACCUCGGUGGGUGGGCUCGGGUUUUGGUUUUGCUUGGAGAAGACGAAUAGAGGGUUUAAGCAGGGAGAGAGGCGGCCGAGCGCGAGAUGGCGAGGAGCCGAGGAAGGGGGAGGGGGGAGACGGCGGAUAGGCGAAAGCGGAAGGAGGUGGAGCCGUGGAGGCCUGGAGGGGAGUCAAGAGUGUUCCGAUGUGGCCCACUUGUCAGAGAGUGGCCACUUUUUAACGAGUGGGCAUAUACGCCUACACGAUACUCUUCUGUUUCAGGUGGGCCACAGCCCAUUAGAAGUGAGCCAUAAACGCUGGCCAUUAUGGGCCGAGACAAAGAUUUGAGGGCUUCUUUGGUUGGCUUGGGUUGGUUGGUUGCCUAAGCCAACCCUACCAAAUUUUGUAUUUCUAAAUGGAAUAAGUCCAUUUUGCCUCUCUCAUGUCUUGCGCUUGUGUGAAUAACAUCCCUCAACCGGAAAACUGGGUAUAACGCCUCCUUCUUCUCUGAAAACCAGAGCAAAUCACCUCCCUCGGCGGUUUCGGAGACGGUUUUGUCCUACAUGGCAGCUGAGUCAACUUGUGGGUCCCACUUGUCAGCAACUUAUCUCCUCUUCCUCUAUUAUCUUUUCCAUCCCCCGUGGCAGCUGCGAGAUGAGUGCCGAAUGGAGGACGCCGUCCGGGGGAUCUAGCGGCGUCAUCUCAUCGGAACUCUACUGCAAGAUUUGCCGAAACGUGAUGGCCGACGCGGUGCUGGCGAGCAAGUGCUGCUUCGACAGCUUCUGCGACUGGUGCAUCCGGGACCACAUCGCCGCCAAGUCCAAGUGCGCGUGCGGGGCGCAGGCGUGCGUCGACGACCUGAUCCCCAACCCAACGCUCCGCACCACCAUCGCCAACGUUCUCGCCACCACCAGCGGCACAGCGAGCGUUUCAAGUGGAACCGAGAAGCCAAGGAGCUCCGCCAGCAGCAACGCGACAGAGGCGGCGCCGCAGAGCCUGGCCGCUUCGCAGGUGAGCCGCAGUAACGUGUCUUCCAAGAAAAGCGCCACGAUCUCAUCAGGUGUCCUCGGACCAAGAAAGGCGUGGGAGACGGUGGCGGGUGACCACUCCACAGAAUAUGGAGCCCUCGCCGUCGACGGCGAUCACCACGGCAGCUAUGGCUUCCCGUUCGGCCCGGCGCCAGGCUACGUCGACCCCUUCUUCGGCGUCGGCGUGCCAUUCGGAGCUGAUCCUUACAUGUACUACGGCGUGCCUUACGGCUGUUGUGGUGCUGCUUACGGCUACUACGGCGACGAGGAUCGCCGUGACACGAAGAGGACGCGCCUACGAUGAUCACACGUCAUCGGCCAAUUGUUGCCUGCUGCCCCAACGCAAGAUUGGAUGGCGACACUACCAGUCGCUGCCGGCGCAGCGAGAAGAGUGCCGAAUGUUGGAUGGAGGACGCCGAAGCGCGGGAAGGUCAUGGUGGCGGCGUUCUGGCUCCGUCCACGUCGGACUAGCGACGCGUGGUCGACGACCCCUGUGCUGCAUCCUACCAUGCCAACUUUGCGUAUCCGUCGGCGUCCAUCUUCGCCAGGAUGCCGGGGAAGGAGAAGAAGAGGCGGCGGCGAGGCCGAAGAGGCGAGGAUAGGGAUGAGGUGGCGGAGGAGGGGCGUGGGAGGGGAGGCAGCGAGCUCCCGCCGCCCCGUCACUCCUGCCGCUCUCGUCGCCCCGCCAUUCCGCCGAGCUUCCGCCGCCCUGUCGUUCCCGCCGCCCCGCCAUUCCGCCACUCCGCCGAGCUCCCGCCGCCCCGCCUCUCCCGCCGCUCCACCGAGCUCCUACCGACCUCCCGCCGCCCCGACUCUCCCGCUGCUCCACCGAGCUCCCACCGCCCCGCUGCUCCGCCAAGCUCCCGCCGCCCCGCCGCUCCACCGAGCACCCGCCGUCCUGCUGCCGCCGAGCUAGCUCUCUCCAUCUCGCUUGCCGUGAGGAUAAAGAGGAAGGGGAAAGGUAACUGACAUGUGGGCCCAAUAUUUUAUUUUUAUUGUUUUACUCACUAACAUGUGGGUCCUAUUUACAUUUGUUUUUAUUUUAGUGCCACGUAAGCGCCACGUCGAUGCCAUAUGGAAGUCAACCCGCCACGUAGGACAAAACCACCUCCGAAACCGCCGAGGGAGGUGAUUUGCUCUGGUUUUCAGAGAAGAAGGAGGCAUUAUACCCGGUUUUCCGGUUGAGGGAUGUUAUUCACGCAAGCGCAAGAGAUGAGGGAGGCAAAAUGGACUUAUUCCUUUCUAAAUUAUGGUACACUUUUGGACUGCUAUUUUUUUUAGGUUGUGUUGUGAGUUGUGACGAAAAUGCUUCUUAUCAGACAUCCGACGCCCGACAAAAAAUCGAACAUUCCGUCGGAGCAAGCAAAACGUAGCACGAAAAUGGAUUAUUUAUGGUGGAGAUAAUGGCAGCAUGCAACAAAGCAUGGAAGGAUGUGAUGUGAUGAGCUGCAGCAUGCAAUGGAUAUGAUGUAACCAACUAUUAGCUUUUUAUCUCUCCCACCUCCUUGUUUAAAAUGAUUUUUCUUCUAAACAAUUUAUCUAAUCUAUAAUUUUAUUAUACAAUUAUGUUUCUUAUGAUUAAAUCUUUACAAUGACAUCUCGUUUGACUAUAUUCUAAUAAAAAGUAUGUAUAUGUUUCAAUUGUUUAUAUUUGAUGUUUCAUGCAUAUGAGCAAAAUGUUUCAACAAGCAUUUUACUGUGUUGCACGUAUCGACACUAUUUGGCCGAGAGAAUUGAACGAUCUAGAUAUUUACGUAUACAUGUUCCUACACAUGUAGAAGAACAAAUAAAUAAGGAAAAUAAUAUUGUUAAAUCCUAACUAAAAUAUUUUUACAUUAUACAUGACAUCGACUUAUAAUUGUUGAAACAUUACAAAACAUUUGUUGAAAUAUCCCAAGAAUACCAUGUGCAACAUUUCAAAUGAAUAAGUGAAACAUAAGAAAAUAGUUAUUAAACCAUCCAAACAACACCAUGUGCAACAUUAAAAUUAAAUAAAUAUCGCAACAAAGAAAACUUAAAAUCUGCAACAAACUCGAAUUUCAUGUGAAACAUUUGCUUCCCUCGCAUGAAACAUCAAAUUUCACUAGUUGGAACAUAUAUAUAUAUAUAUAUAUAUAUAUAUAUAUAUAUAUAUAUAUAUAUAUAUAUAUAUAUAUAUAUAUAUAUAUAUAUAUAUAUAUAUAUAUAUAAUCAAAAUAUAUUCAUGUGACAUCUUAUUGUAAAGAUUUAAUUGCUAUAAGUAUAACGACGUAAUCAGAUGGUAGAUCAGAUAAAGAAUUUAAGAGGAAAAAUUGUUUAUAGGUUGUUGAUAAAGUGGUCAUAGAGGAGAGAGAGUGGUGAAGAGAGUAAUCAUGUAGGAAUAAGCACCGAUGAAAUCGAUAGGGCAGAUUCGUUCGGUGCAUGCAACAAUGGUAGGUACUGGGGUAUGUCCGAUUUUUUUUAAUUCUCCAUACAUCCGACGCGUAGUCUUCCCUAAGUUGUGACCCAACGUCAUGAACAUAAUGGGGAUAGAUGAGGAAGUGUUUCCCUCGCCUAUCCUUGUAACGAGAUGAGCUUGAUAUGAGUCAAAUGACACUCAUGAUCGCUAUUUCAGUAAAGUAUAAAUCGUGUUGCUAUAUAAUUAGAUCGGCUUAUAUAGCCAUGGUAGUUACAUGCGAAGUUACAUGGAUAAUCCAAAGGACUAGAAACCCUAGGGAACUUGUAAGAGAAUAUUCUUGCUGGGUAACGUAGCCGCCAAGCUUCUUCUCCAUCCUCCACGCACCGCUUGCCUUUCUAUAACAAGCUUGAAUACUAUUUGCCCAAUUAACAUGUUUCCGUCCAUAGCAACUUGAACUCUUUUUUUGUCACCUGCUUUGAAACUCAGGAAUAUGCCCAUCAAGGCCUGAAGUCGUGUCUUGGUCGAAUAGGAGGUAUGACACCUAGUCCUCACUGCUACAACAAGUAGUACGUGUUUCGGUAAAUCUGGUUCAGAACAUUUAAUAAUUGCAGUACUAUAUUUAGUGGUGGACAUUUUCAAAAUUAUCAUUUUUUGUAAGAUAUCACUGUGUAAAAUACAUUUGGUGGUCUUGGAAAUUUAGGUAGCAUUUGGCUAGCUGUGAAGCACCAUAAGUAACACCAAAAUUUAGUAGGAUAACAUUGUCAAAAAUAUGUUUGCUAUGUUAUUGAUAGUUUUCUAACUAGGAACCAUCGAUGAUGUGUUAGUGAUGUCAUAGGUGCAUAAUCUUGUAUUCUAAGGUUUUAAAUCCUAAUGUCCAUAGAUAUUGCGCAAAAGUUGUAGCAGUUACGCCACUAGCCUCUUCU
Molecule: long non-coding RNA, 33081 nt
Filed under: Oryza sativa (Asian cultivated rice)
Lineage: Eukaryota; Viridiplantae; Streptophyta; Magnoliopsida; Poales; Poaceae
Description: long non-coding RNA (OSAT_LNC001492)
Source: RNAcentral